GACGAACGCUGGCGGCGUGCUUAACACAUGCAAGUCGAACGCUGAAGCUCAGCUUUUGUUGGGUGGAUGAGUGGCGAACGGGUGAGUAACACGUGAGUAACCUGCCUCCUUCUUUGGGAUAACGCCCGGAAACGGGUGCUAAUACUGGAUAUUCACUGGUCUUCGCAUGGGGGUUGGUGGAAAGGGCUUUUCUGGUGGGGGAUGGGCUCGCGGCCUAUCAGCUUGUUGGUGGGGUGAUGGCCUACCAAGGCUUUGACGGGUAGCCGGCCUGAUAGGGUGACCGGUCACAUUGGGACUGAGAUACGGCCCAGGCUCCUACGGGAGGCAGCAGUGGGGAAUAUUGCACAAUGGGCGCAAGACUGAUGCAGCGACGCCGCGUGAGGGAUGGAGGCCUUCGGGUUGUGAACCUCUUUCGCUCAUGGUCAAGCCGCAACAAUGGUUGUGGUGAGGGUAGUGGGUAAAGAAGCGCCGGCUAACUACGUG
Molecule: ribosomal RNA, 483 nt
Filed under: uncultured bacterium
Lineage: Bacteria
Description: partial 16S ribosomal RNA
Rfam family: Bacterial small subunit ribosomal RNA
Source: RNAcentral